GUGGGGGAAGUGUCUGUCUAGUUUGGAUUGUAAAAUGUGAACAAUUAGCUGGUCUGACCUUCCUCGCCU
Molecule: microRNA precursor, 69 nt
Filed under: Oreochromis niloticus (Nile tilapia)
Lineage: Eukaryota; Metazoa; Chordata; Actinopteri; Cichliformes; Cichlidae
Description: microRNA oni-mir-10754 precursor
Source: miRBase by way of RNAcentral